This 20-nucleotide unclassified non-coding RNA is filed under the name Mus musculus (house mouse). RNAcentral describes it as "oocyte_clustered_small_RNA1163". The record is from RNAcentral. Lineage: Eukaryota; Metazoa; Chordata; Mammalia; Rodentia; Muridae.
UGAACACCAUCCCCAGCGUC